GGCAAUGUGGCUUAGUGGUAGAGUGCUUGCCUAGCAUGCAUGAAGCCCUGGGUUCAGUUCUUCAGUGCCA
Molecule: transfer RNA, 70 nt
Filed under: Dipodomys ordii (Ord's kangaroo rat)
Lineage: Eukaryota; Metazoa; Chordata; Mammalia; Rodentia; Heteromyidae
Rfam family: tRNA
About the family: Transfer RNA (tRNA) molecules are approximately 80 nucleotides in length.
Source: Rfam by way of RNAcentral